This 762-nucleotide ribosomal RNA is filed under the name uncultured bacterium. RNAcentral's name for it is "bacterial SSU rRNA". It matches the Rfam family "Bacterial small subunit ribosomal RNA", at positions 62 to 792 of the family's 1533-position model. The record is from RNAcentral.
UCGAGCGAGCGGAACCACAGAUUUACUUCGGUAAUGACGUUGGGAGAGCGAGCGGCGGAUGGGUGAGUAACACGUGGGGAACCUGCCCCUAAGUCUGGGAUACCAUUUGGAAACAGGUGCUAAUACCGGAUAAUAAAGCAGAUCGCAUGAUCAGCUUUUGAAAGGCGGCGUAAGCUGUCGCUAAGGGGUGGCCCCGCGGUGCAUUAGCUAGUUGGUAAGGUAACGGCUUACCAAGGCGACGAUGCAUAGCCGAGUUGAGAGACUGAUCGGCCACAUUGGGACUGAGACACGGCCCAAACUCCUACGGGAGGCAGCAGUAGGGAAUCUUCCACAAUGGACGCAAGUCUGAUGGAGCAACGCCGCGUGAGUGAAGAAGGUUUUCGGAUCGUAAAGCUCUGUUGUUGGUGAAGAAGGAUAGAGGUAGUAACUGGCCUUUAUUUGACGGUAAUCAACCAGAAAGUCACGGCUAACUACGUGCCAGCAGCCGCGGUAAUACGUAGGUGGCAAGCGUUGUCCGGAUUUAUUGGGCGUAAAGCGAGCGCAGGCGGAAAAAUAAGUCUAAUGUGAAAGCCCUCGGCUUAACCGAGGAACUGCAUCGGAAACUGUUUUUCUUGAGUGCAGAAGAGGAGAGUGGAACUCCAUGUGUAGCGGUGGAAUGCGUAGAUAUAUGGAAGAACACCAGUGGCGAAGGCGGCUCUCUGGUCUGCAACUGACGCUGAGGCUCGAAAGCAUGGGUAGCGAACAGGAUUAGAUACCCUGGUA